GACGAACGCUGGCGGCGUGCUUAACACAUGCAAGUCGUGCGGGAAAGUUCCCUUCGGGGAGCGAGUAUAGCGGCGCACGGGUGAGUAAUACGUAGGUAACCUGCCCUUGAGACUGGGACAACCUGUCGAAAGACGGGCUAAUACCGGAUAAGACCACGGGAGCUGCGGCUCCUGCGGUAAAAGGUGGCCUCUGCUUGCAAGCUAUCACUCGAGGAUGGGCCUGCGUGCCAUUAGCUAGUUGGUGAGGUAACGGCUCACCAAGGCAGAGAUGGCUAGCUGGUCUGAGAGGAUGACCAGCCACACUGGGACUGAGACACGGCCCAGACUCCUACGGAGGCAGCAGUGGGAAUAUUGACAAUGGGCGCAAGCCUGAUCCAGCGAUGCCGCGUGUGUGAAGAAGGCCUGCGGGUUGUAAAGCACUUUCAGUAGGGAAGAAAAGCCGAGUGCUAAUAUCAUUCGGUCUUG
Molecule: ribosomal RNA, 465 nt
Filed under: uncultured bacterium
Lineage: Bacteria
Description: bacterial SSU rRNA
Rfam family: Bacterial small subunit ribosomal RNA
Source: RNAcentral